GACGAACGCUGGCGGCGUGCUUAACACAUGCAAGUCGAACGGAAAGGCCCUGCUUUUGUGGGGUGCUCGAGUGGCGAACGGGUGAGUAACACGUGAGUAACCUGCCCUUGACUUUGGGAUAACUUCAGGAAACUGGGGCUAUUACCGGAUAGGAGCUCUUGCUGCAUGGUGGGGGUUGGAAAGUUUCGGCGGUUGGGGAUGGACUCGCGGCUUAUCAGCUUGUUGGUGGGGUAGUGGCUUACCAAGGCUUUGACGGGUAGCCGGCCUGAGAGGGUGACCGGCCACAUUGGGACUGAGAUACGGCCCAGACUCCUACGGGAGGCAGCAGUGGGGAAUAUUGCACAAUGGGCGGAAGCCUGAUGCAGCAACGCCGCGUGCGGGAUGACGGCCUUCGGGUUGUAAACCGCUUUCGCCUGUGACGAAGCGUGAGUGACGGUAAUGGGUAAAGAAGCACCGGCUAACUACGUG
RNAcentral lists this ribosomal RNA (468 nucleotides) under uncultured bacterium. RNAcentral's name for it is "partial 16S ribosomal RNA". It matches the Rfam family "Bacterial small subunit ribosomal RNA", at positions 28 to 507 of the family's 1533-position model. The record is from RNAcentral.